This 253-nucleotide ribosomal RNA is filed under the name uncultured bacterium. RNAcentral describes it as "partial 16S ribosomal RNA". It matches the Rfam family "Bacterial small subunit ribosomal RNA", at positions 524 to 776 of the family's 1533-position model. The record is from RNAcentral.
UACGAAGGGUGCAAACGUUGCUCGGAAUUAUUGGGCGUAAAGCGCACGUAGGCGGCUUGGCAAGUCGGAUGUGAAAUCCCUCGGCUCAACCAAGGAAGUGCAUCCGAAACUGCCGAGCUUGAGUACUUAAGAGGAUCGCGGAAUUCCCGGUGUAGAGGUGAAAUUCGUAGAUAUCAAGAGGAACACCUGCGGCGAAGGCGGGUUGCUGGGCCGACACUGACGCUGAAGCGCGAAAGCCAGGGGAGCGAACGGG